Molecule: unclassified non-coding RNA, 381 nt
Filed under: uncultured Actinomycetes bacterium
Lineage: Bacteria; Bacillati; Actinomycetota; Actinomycetes
Description: uncultured actinobacterium contains 16S-23S intergenic spacer region
Source: RNAcentral
UCCCGGUUAACCCGGGCAGUCUCAUUAGAGUUCCCACCAUUACGUGUUGGCAACUAAUGACAAGGGUUGCGCUCGUUGCGGGACUUAACCCAACACCUCACGGCACGAGCUGACGACAGCCAUGCACCACCUGUGAUCCUGCCCACAAGGGGAAACCGUGUUUCCACGGCGGUCACCCACAUGUCAAGCCCAGGUAAGGUUCUUCGCGUCGCAUCGAAUUAAGCCGCAUGCUCCGCCGCUUGUGCGGGGACCCGUCAAUUCCUUUGAGUUUUAGCCUUGCGGCCGUACUCCCCAGGCGGGGCACUUAAUGCGUUAGCUUCGGCACGGCAACCGUUGAUCGGGUCGCCACACCUAGUGCCCAACGUUUACAGCGUGGACUAC